This 494-nucleotide ribosomal RNA is filed under the name uncultured bacterium. RNAcentral's name for it is "partial 16S ribosomal RNA". It matches the Rfam family "Bacterial small subunit ribosomal RNA", at positions 29 to 507 of the family's 1533-position model. The record is from RNAcentral.
AUUGAACGCUGGCGGCAUGCUUUACACAUGCAAGUCGAACGGCAGCGGGGAGGAGCUUGCUUCUCUGCCGGCGAGUGGCGAACGGGUGAGUAAUACAUCGGAACGUGUCGAGAAGAGGGGGAUAACCACCCGAAAGGGUGGCUAAUACCGCAUAAAUUCUGAGGAAGAAAGCUGGGGACCUAGGAAUAGGCCUAGCGCUUUUUGAGCGGCCGAUGUCGGAUUAGCUAGUUGGUGAGGUAAAGGCUCACCAAGGCGAAGAUCUGUAGCGGGUCUGAGAGGAUGACCGCCCAAAGUGGGACGGGGACAGGCCCAGGACCCCAACGGGGGGCGGCGGGGGGGAAUUUUGGACAAGGGGGGAAACCCUGACCCACCAGUGCGGGGUGUAGGAAAAGGGCCUUGGGGUGGUAAAGUUUUUUGGUGGGGAAAAAAAAGUCAGCGGAGAAUAAGGGCGGAUACGGAGGGUACCUAAAAAAAAAGCCCCGGCUAACUACGUG